Long non-coding RNA from Uloborus diversus, 1234 nucleotides. RefSeq lists it as uncharacterized. The record is from RefSeq and is a predicted model, not a curated record. NCBI's taxonomy places the organism in Eukaryota, Metazoa, Arthropoda, Arachnida, Araneae, Uloboridae. The transcript has 3 exons.
GUGUUAAGUGGCUUUAUCGCACAAAACUCUUUGUCGAGUUAUCAUCUUCGGAUCGUUUUUAUUCUGUUAAACGCUCUGGCAUUUGAAGGGUAUGGGAAAACAGCGUGGAAGUUGGUUUGCGCAUGGACUAAGUAAGAAACGGCCAUUCCAUCGAGACGAGAGGAAAAUUGUCAACCUCAUACUGUUCAUGAUAUUUAUAGCAGGAUUUGUGUUCCUUAUUUCUGCGCUACUUUUGCUGGGAUUUGGACCUAAUCACGCUUUCUACUGCUUCAUGGGAAUAUUUCUAAUUUUUGAAAGCAUUUUUAUGUCCAUGAGUUGCUACUUACGUUACUCUGACCGUUCUUCUGCUUCACAUUCUAACGCAGAGGAACCAAUCAUUGAAGCAGGCAAAAAUGAGCAAUCUAAGUUAUCUACAGACAGUUAUGGCUCCACAAGUUUUCUUAAAGGGAGCAUCACUCAUGUAAAAGCAGAUAUUGAAGAGGGUUGAAGUAGUUAUGAAAGGACCUUUCCAAUUAUUUCUGAUGGCUGCUUAACAUAUCAAAAGCACUGGCGAAAAAAACCUGCCCAUGAUGAUGUUUGUGAAGAAAGGAAGCAACGAGUAAAAAAGCAUAGCGUGCUCAUUUAAGAAAAUACUGUCAUCCUAUUGCUAUUUGUAGCUUAAUGUACGUAUGUUUGCCGAGAAGCCUGCGGGACGGUGUCCCCAAAACUAAUAUGUAUGUAGCUGUUACUUCUCAAAAUUAUUUUAUAAAUUAGCUUAUAGUAUGCAUUAGCAGACCAAAAUAUUUUCGCUGCUAUCAAUACAAAAAAAAUUUCAAAAUUUCAAAAAUAAUUAAAGCAAUUUGGGAAAAUAAUCUUUUGGUUCAGUGUUCUUUAUCCAUCUCCACUUUUAUUGAUUUAAGUUUUAAUGCAAAAAGUUACUGAAUGAUGAUGAUAAUCGAAAAUAUUUAAAGAUGAUAUUACUGAUAUGCAUCUUUUUGAAACGCAAUCAAAGAGAGACGCACUAUAAAAUAUUAUUGUGUAAAGAGAAAAGUAAACUGUAAAUAUUACACGUAUGAACUUCAUUACAUACCUCAAUAACUUGAGCACUUGUCUUAAUUCAUUUGCAAUGUGAAAAACACGCAUUUGUAAUUUAUAUCAUGCUCUAUUUUAAUUUGAUAGUCAGUAAUUAUUUCUAAAUGUAUCAAGUAGAAGAAGACGUACAACGCUUCACGUCUUGCUUUAUCAACAAAAAAAC